This is a long non-coding RNA of Cyprinus carpio (common carp), 1018 nucleotides long. Lineage: Eukaryota; Metazoa; Chordata; Actinopteri; Cypriniformes; Cyprinidae. The record is from Ensembl.
AGAAACUUUUGUAGAGGCAGAGAGAGAGUCUGUUUCUGAAGCUGCAGAAUCAAGUCAGCUUGAAGUAUCGGGAGAUACUGCCAAAGUAGGAAAUGCUGAAGGCAUAAUUGUUGAUGAUAGCGCUGAUGCUGGGGCUGAACAGAUCUCAAACACAUCCUCCUCUCUCAAAAAUAAAACUUACUGCUACAUUUGUGGAAAACUACAGACAAAGUUUACACGUCACCUAAAACGUCAUGAGAAAACUCAUGCAGAUGUUGCUCAAGUUUUAAGUCUUCCCAAGAAGUCCAAACAGCGCCAGAAAAUGCUUAUAAAGCUACGCAACAAGGGAAACCACAUUCAUAACUCGGAGGUCUUAGCAAGUGGAGUUGGAUCCUUAAAACUAAGACGCACAGCAAAGACAAAAUACAAUGCAAAAGACUAUAUUCACUGCAUGUACUGCCAGGCAUUAUAUCUCCGAAGAGAUCUGUGGCGACAUGUGAAGAAAUGUUCUUCAAAACCAGUAGAAGCCAAUUCAGAGAUUGGAAGAAAAAAGGUAUUGUCUUUGGCCUCUAUGAAUGAGUCAGCUCUUUCUCAGCAAAUAUCCCCAGGUGUUUGGAAGAUUUUAGCUGUCAUGAAAGACGAUGAGAUAACUGCUACUGUGCGAAGUGACUAUUCUAUUCUUCAGCUGGCCCAGUCAUUUUUUAAUAAACAUGCACAGGAUCCCACCAAAUAUGACUAUAUUCGCCAGACACUCAGAGAAAGUGGAAGACUUCUGCUUACGCUUCGCAAGGAAUUCUCAAUACAAACUCUUGAAGAUGCUGUGAGACCAGCAAAUUUUGAUGUGGUGAUCAAAGCUGUUAAGAAAGUGUCUGGGUACGAUGAUGAAAAGCACUGCUACCGUACUCCAAGCCUUGCAUUAAAGUUGGGUCACUCACUCCAGAAAGUCAGUGACAUUUUACAUUGUAGAGCACUGAUGGCAGAAGACAGUAACCUGAUAAAGUCAACCCAGAGUUUUAAAACCCUCUAUGCUACAAAGUGG